Molecule: non-coding RNA, 522 nt
Organism: Pelobates cultripes (western spadefoot toad)
Lineage: Eukaryota; Metazoa; Chordata; Amphibia; Anura; Pelobatidae
Source: the annotation of a GenBank genome assembly
GCCAAAGGUGUCGUCCUUCCUCCCCAGCGGCAGUGUGUAUCCCAGGGAGCCAAAGGUGUCGUCCUUCCUCCCCAGCGGCAGAGUAAGUCCCAGGGAGCCAAAGGUGUCGUCCUUCCUCCCCAGCGGCAGUGUGUAUCCCAGGGAGCUGAAGGUGCAGUCCUUCCUCCCCAGCAGCAGUGUGAGUCCCAGGGAGCCAAAGGUGUCGUCCUUCCUCCCCAGCGGCAGUGUGUGUCCCAGGGAGCUGAAGGUGUGUCCUUCCUCCCCAGCGGCAGUGUGUAUCCCAGGGAGCUGAAGGUGCCGUCCUUCCUCCCCAGCGGCAGUGUGUACCCCAGGGAGCUGAAGGUGUCGUCCUUCCUCCCCAGCGGCAGUGUGUACCCCAGGGAGCAGAAGGUGUCGUCCUUCCUCCCCAGCGGCAGUGUGUAUCCCAGGGAGCCAAAGGUGUCGUCCUUCCUCCCCAGCGGCAGUGUGUACCCCAGGGAGCUGAAGGUGCCGUCCUUCCUCCCCAGCGGCAGUGUGUAUCCC